Molecule: ribosomal RNA, 495 nt
Filed under: uncultured bacterium
Lineage: Bacteria
Description: partial 16S ribosomal RNA
Rfam family: Bacterial small subunit ribosomal RNA
Source: RNAcentral
GACGAACGCUGGCGGCGUGCCUAAUACAUGCAAGUAGAACGCUGAAGGAGGAGCUUGCUUCGCUGGAUGAGUUGCGAACGGGUGAGUAACGCGUAGGUAACCUGCCUGGUAGCGGGGGAUAACUAUUGGAAACGAUAGCUAAUACCGCAUAAUAGCAGUUGUUGCAUGACAACUGUUUGAAAGGUGCAAUUGCACCACUACCAGAUGGACCUGCGUUGUAUUAGCUAGGUGGUGGGGUAACGGCUCACCAAGACGACGAUACAUAGCCGACCUGCGAGGGUGAGAGGCAAAACUGGGACUGGGACACGGCCCGGACUACUGGGGGAGGCAGCCGUAGGGAAUCUUCGGCAAUGGACGGAAGUCUGAACGAGCGACGCCGCGUGAGUGAAGAAGGUUGUCGGAUCGUAAAGCUCUGUUGUAAGAGAAGAACGAGUGUGAGAGUGGAAAGUGCACACUGUGACGGUAUCUUACCAGAAAGGGACGGCUAACUACGUG